UUCAGACAACCAAUGGUCAAUUGUUCUUCCAACGCAAACAAGAGAAUGGAACAUUAAAGAUGGUGAUUUACAUGAUAUACCUCUCGGAGAAGAACUUGUCACAUUCACCGCAAUAGAAGAUAAUGACGAAGUUGAUGAUGAUUGUAUUUGUUUCCGUGAAAAUGGUGAAGGAUUGUGGGUUGAUGAUAAUGGGUCUUGAGAUGGAGGCUGAUCCUUUUGGUGGUAGUUCUGAUGAGGGAGAGCAACGCCCUAAUUCUCAGUCAGUGGAGCAAGAAAAUAAAUCUGUGAGAGGACGUACAUGGAUGUCUAGAAACACCAAAAAAAGGAGUGAAGGACAUCUUACUCUUGUUGAAUACAAUGAGUAUGGUCAACUAGUGGGUGGAUCUAGAAGUAAUGUUUCAUCAUAGCUUGGAUCAGUUGUUCGAGCAACUGUGUCCAUCAACAUUAACAGUUGGAAAGAUGUUAGUGUGGUGGAUAAAAAUAAAAUAUGGGACACAAUGAAGAAAACUUAUGAUUUGGACCCCAAACAAAAGCAACAGAUGUUGAAGGAUGCGGGAAAGUACUUCCGAAAUUGGAAGACUAAUCUUACUAGGGUACACAUUUACGACGCUUUGAAAAAAUACCCAAAUGAGUUCCCGCCAGCUUUGCCAUUUGGAUUUGAGAAUGUCAUAACUCCGGAUGAAUGGUUAGCGUUUGUGAACUCAAGAUUAACUCCCGAGUGGCAAAGAAAGAGAGAGGAGAUGCAAAAUUAUCGAGCACUGAAUAAAUACAAUCACAACCUCUCUAGAGGAGGCUAUGUGCGUAUUGAAGAGAUGUUAAUGGAACAAAGUGGGAAAAGUCUGACUGAACUUGAUAGGGCAGAUUUAUGGAGCAUGGGUCGUCGGAAUGCAAAAUGAGAGCUAAUUGGAGAGGCCUCUGAGAUUCAAAAAAAUAUUGAUCAUUACCGGCAACUCCAAGCUGAGGGUAAAUGGGCACCUGAUGGCCCUGAUGAUGUGCUGACGAGGGCGUUGGGCACUCCUGAGCCUCGAGGACGUGUUAGGGCUGGAGGACACGGUGUGUCCCGCUCAGUAUAUUGGAAUACUCCAACACCUACCUCAACGAAAAAUAAAUCAAAAGCCUCUUCUUCGAAUGACGACAUUAGAAAGGAAUUUGAAGAAAGAUUUCGAAAACAAGAAGAAGAGCAUCGUCAACAAGCACAACGC
Humulus lupulus (European hop) is the source of this 1202-nucleotide long non-coding RNA. RefSeq lists it as uncharacterized. The transcript has 4 exons. NCBI's taxonomy places the organism in Eukaryota, Viridiplantae, Streptophyta, Magnoliopsida, Rosales, Cannabaceae. The record is from RefSeq and is a predicted model, not a curated record.